RNAcentral lists this ribosomal RNA (442 nucleotides) under uncultured bacterium. Its description in RNAcentral is "partial 16S ribosomal RNA". It matches the Rfam family "Bacterial small subunit ribosomal RNA", at positions 338 to 795 of the family's 1533-position model. The record is from RNAcentral.
CCUACGGGAGGCAGCAGUAGGGAAUCUUUCACACUGGGCGAAAGCCUGAUGGAGCAACGCCGCGUGCAGGAUGAAGGCCUUCGGGUUGUAAACUGCUUUUAUAAGCGAGAAAUAUGAUGGUAACUUAUGAAUAAGGAUCGGCUAACUACGUGCCAGCAGCCGCGGUCAUACGUAGGAUCCGAGCAUUAUCCGGAUUGACUGGGUGUAAAGAGUUGCGUAGGUGGCAUAAUAAGUAGCUAGUGAAAUCUGGUGGCUCAACCAUUCAGACUAUUAGCUAAACUGUUAAGCUCGAGACCGUUAGGGGUAACUGGAAUUUCUAGUGUAGGAGUGAAAUCCGUAGAUAUUAGAAGGAACACCAAUAGCGUAGGCAGGUUGCUGGGACGGUUCUGACACUAAGGCACGAAAGCGUAGGGAGCAAACGGGAUUAGAUACCCGUGUAGUC